This 253-nucleotide ribosomal RNA is filed under the name uncultured bacterium. Its description in RNAcentral is "partial 16S ribosomal RNA". It matches the Rfam family "Bacterial small subunit ribosomal RNA", at positions 524 to 776 of the family's 1533-position model. The record is from RNAcentral.
UACGUAGGGUGCGAGCGUUGUCCGGAAUUAUUGGGCGUAAAGAGCUUGUAGGCGGUUUGUCGCGUCUGCUGUGAAAAUUCGGGGCUUAACCCCGGACGUGCAGUGGGUACGGGCAGGCUAGAGUGUGGUAGGGGAGACUGGAAUUCCUGGUGUAGCGGUGAAAUGCGCAGAUAUCAGGAAGAACACCGAUGGCGAAGGCAGGUCUCUGGGCCAUAACUGACGCUGAGAAGCGAAAGCAUGGGGAGCGAACAGG